ACGGGAGGCAGCAGUGGGGAAUAUUGCGCAAUGGAGGCAACUCUGACGCAGCAACGCCGCGUGCAGGAUGAAGGUUUUCGAAUCGUAAACUGCUUUCAGUAGGGAAGAAGUAAUUGACGGUACCUACACAAGAAGCUCCGGCUAACUACGUGCCAGCAGCCGCGGUAACACGUAGGGAGCAAGCGUUAUCCGGAUUCAUUGGGCGUAAAGCGCGCGCAGGCGGGUGAUUAAGCGGGACUUUUAACCCGAGGGCUCAACCCCCGGUCGGGUUCCGAACUGGUCAUCUUGAGUGCGGUAGGGGCAGGUGGAAUUCCAUGUGUAGCGGUGAAAUGCGCAGAUAUAUGGAAGAACACCGAUGGCGAAGGCAGCCUGCUGGGCCGCCACUGACGCUCAGGCGCGAAAGCUAGGGGAGCAAACAGGAUUAGAUACCCUGGUA
RNAcentral lists this ribosomal RNA (436 nucleotides) under uncultured Coriobacteriaceae bacterium. Its description in RNAcentral is "partial 16S ribosomal RNA". It matches the Rfam family "Bacterial small subunit ribosomal RNA", at positions 341 to 792 of the family's 1533-position model. The record is from RNAcentral. Lineage: Bacteria; Bacillati; Actinomycetota; Coriobacteriia; Coriobacteriales; Coriobacteriaceae.